GGUCUCAUGGUGUAAUGGUUAGCACUCUGGACUCUGAAUCCAGCGAUCUUAGUUCAAAUCUCGGUGAGACCU
Molecule: transfer RNA, 72 nt
Filed under: Rhipicephalus microplus (southern cattle tick)
Lineage: Eukaryota; Metazoa; Arthropoda; Arachnida; Ixodida; Ixodidae
Description: tRNA-Gln
Rfam family: tRNA
About the family: Transfer RNA (tRNA) molecules are approximately 80 nucleotides in length.
Source: Rfam by way of RNAcentral